Molecule: ribosomal RNA, 202 nt
Filed under: uncultured bacterium
Lineage: Bacteria
Description: partial 16S ribosomal RNA
Rfam family: Bacterial small subunit ribosomal RNA
Source: RNAcentral
UACGUAGGGUGCAAGCGUUGUCCGGAAUUAUUGGGCGUAAAGAGCUCGUAGGCGGUUUGUCGCGUCUGCUGUGAAAACGCGAGGCUCAACCUCGCGCCUGCAGUGGGUACGGGCAGACUAGAGUGCGGUAGGGGAGAUUGGAAUUCCUGGUGUAGCGGUGGAAUGCGCAGAUAUCAGGAGGAACACCGAUGGCGGAAGGCAG